This 171-nucleotide non-coding RNA is filed under the name pig gut metagenome. The record is from RNAcentral.
UAAAGGUUUUCGACCUAAUCGUCGGAACGAAAGAGGGAAGACGGGUGAAAAUCCCGCGCAGUCCCGCUGCUGUAAAUGGGGAAUGAACUUUCAAAAUCCCACUGGCCGUACCGGCUGGGAAGGGGAAAGUUUAUUUGGAUCCAUGAGCCAGAAUACCUGCCUUUGCUAGAU